RNAcentral lists this ribosomal RNA (535 nucleotides) under uncultured prokaryote. RNAcentral's name for it is "bacterial SSU rRNA". It matches the Rfam family "Bacterial small subunit ribosomal RNA", at positions 28 to 557 of the family's 1533-position model. The record is from RNAcentral.
AUUGAACGCUGGCGGCAGGCCUAACACAUGCAAGUCGAGCGGUAACACAGAGGAGCUUGCUCCUUGGGUGACGAGCGGCGGACGGGUGAGUAAUGCCUGGGGAUCUGCCCGAUAGAGGGGGAUAACUACGGGAAACUGUAGCUAAUACCGCAUAAUGUCUACGGACCAAAGUGGGGGCUCUUCGGACCUCAUGCUAUCGGAUGAACCCAGGUGGGAUUAGAUAGUUGGUGAGGUAACGGCUCACCAAGUCAGCGAUGGAUAGGGGUUCUGAGAGGAAGGUCCCCCACACUGGUACUGAGACACGGACCAGACUCCUACGGGAGGCAGCAGUGAGGAAUAUUGGUCAAUGGGCGAGAGCCUGAACCAGCCAAGUCGCGUGAAGGAUGAAGGUCUUAUGGAUUGUAAACUUCUUUUAUAAGGGAAUAAAAAAGAUCACGUGUGGUCUAUUGCAUGUACCUUAUGAAUAAGCAUCGGCUAACUCCGUGCCAGCAGCCGCGGUAAUACGGAGGAUGCGAGCGUUAUCCGGAUUUAUUGG